This is a long non-coding RNA of Alnus glutinosa, 1429 nucleotides long. RefSeq lists it as uncharacterized. Lineage: Eukaryota; Viridiplantae; Streptophyta; Magnoliopsida; Fagales; Betulaceae. The record is from RefSeq and is a predicted model, not a curated record. The transcript is spliced from 2 exons.
GUCCCAUCCAACAUCUAAUCCUUAGGCGCUGACAUCCCCUGCAAAGUGACCCUCUCUCCAUGCCAUGUGAAGCUCAUCACCAAGCUAGAGAAAUCCCACAAAAUAAUUUCUGAGUGUUUACAACCAAAUAGCACCAAAGAUGGUGACUGCUCGACAGAACCCUCCACUGAGAAGAGUCUCCCCAUUGGCCACGAGCAUCUUCAUCUUCUCAGUCGGUGCCAGUGCGACGCCCCACCCAUCGGGCUGCGGCAGAGCUAAUGAAAUUGUGCGUGCUCCCACUGUCAACGAGAAACACGAUCUUGCAGCACCCCAAUUCUCCCUUCAACCGCGUCGUGCGAGGCCCUCGGGUUCCAGUGAUGGCAUGUAGAGAAAUUGCAGCUUGCCCCCCUUCAUGAAAUUCAGGGUCAUCAUUGCCGCCCUCCUCAAUGGAGAUUCUUCCUUCAUCAUCCUCCAGUUCCAGCCAAAACAAUUUGGCACAUCUAUGGCCAGGUUAGUGUUGGCGAUGACAUGGGUGGCAAUUUAAGGGGUAUUUUGGUCUCUGGCGCAUUAUUGCGUCGUUCGGCUUGAUGUUUGGCUUCGUACAGCUGCGCCAAGCCUAUUGCGGCGAUAAGGUUCGUGGGGUGGCCUGCUUGCACCUCUGGCCGAAUGGUGUCCUUCAGCCCACUGAUGAAACAACCCAGUUGGUGUUCUGUGGAUAGUCGUCCAACACGACUUAACAGCCUUUCAAAUUGUGCUUGGCAGCUCGUGGGGCGGCCUGCUUGCACCUCUGGCUGAAUGGUGUCCUUCAGCCCACUGAUGAAACACCCCAGUUGGUGUUCUGUGGAGAGUCGCCCAACACGACUUAACAACCUUUCAAAUUGUGCUUGGUAGUCCCUCAUUGACCCAUUCUGUUUGAGCUUAGACAAAUCACCAAAGAAAUCCUCAAACAUUGUUGGUCCGUACAUGGCAUGGAGGCCUUCCUUCCAGGCUUCCUAGAUGACCGUUGUUGUCUGGCCUUCCAUGAAUAAUUGGUACCAUAGCUGGGCAUUGUCAUCAAGGUGGUAAGCGGCUAAGGGCAGCCUCUCCUCCUUUUUUUCCACCAGAACGUGGGAAGUCAAUCUUAGCCACUUUUGGGGUCAUAGACCCAUUGGUGCAGGACCAGUUCGAGUCAUUUGUGGUCCUCUCCUGCGAUUAGUAGUGGCAACGAUGUCCUCACUUACACCUCCUGGAAAACCUAAAAGAGACAAGAGCCAUCAAGUCUACGAAAGUCAGGAGACUCAUUGACUUCACAAGCAUCCACGGCUGCUGUUAGUAGGAAACGUGGGGCUCAACCUUGCUCCAGAUAUUAAGCCUACACUCUUGCAUAUUAUAUUACUUUGUAGAUAACGUGUUUGUUAUUUGUAAGCUACUAAUAGCACUAUACUUCAUUAGACUUUCCUGUUGCUCUUCA